RNAcentral lists this ribosomal RNA (183 nucleotides) under uncultured eukaryote. RNAcentral's name for it is "partial 18S ribosomal RNA". It matches the Rfam family "Eukaryotic small subunit ribosomal RNA", at positions 1299 to 1458 of the family's 1831-position model. The record is from RNAcentral.
UGGUGGAGUGAUUUGUCUGGUUGAUUCCGUUAACGAACGAGAUCUUGGCCGUUCAAUGACAGUUCGAUCGCUAUGUAGUCCGAUACUCUCGCGCUUGCGUGUUGCAGUCAUUGGAUGAGAUCCUUCCUUGUACUCAACGGGACUAUACGUGUUGACAACGUAUGGAAGUGCGAGCCAAUAGCA